RNAcentral lists this transfer RNA (74 nucleotides) under Otolemur garnettii (small-eared galago). It matches the Rfam family "tRNA". From Rfam's summary of the family: Transfer RNA (tRNA) molecules are approximately 80 nucleotides in length. Their secondary structure includes four short double-helical elements and three loops (D, anti-codon, and T loops). Lineage: Eukaryota; Metazoa; Chordata; Mammalia; Primates; Galagidae. The record is from Rfam by way of RNAcentral.
GCGCCUGUGGCUCAAAGGAGUAGGGCACUGGCUUCAUAUGCUGGAGGUGGCAGGUUCAAAUCCAGCCCAGGCCA